Molecule: ribosomal RNA, 402 nt
Filed under: bacterium
Lineage: Bacteria
Description: partial 16S ribosomal RNA
Rfam family: Bacterial small subunit ribosomal RNA
Source: RNAcentral
UGGGGAAUAUUGCACAAUGGGGGAAACCCUGAUGCAGCGACGCCGCGUGAACGAAGAAGGUAUUCGUAUCGUAAAGUUCUGUCCUAUGGGAAGAUAAUGACAGUACCAUAGAAGAAAGCUCCGGCUAAAUACGUGCCAGCAGCCGCGGUAAUACGUAUGGAGCGAGCGUUGUCCGGAAUUAUUGGGCGUAAAGGGUACGCAGGCGGUUUAAUAAGUCGAAUGUUAAAGAUCGGGGCUCAACCCCGCAAAGCAUUGAAACUGAUAAACUUGAGUAGUGGAGAGGAAAGUGGAAUUCCUAGUGUAGUGGUGAAAUACGGAGAUAUUAGGAGGAAUAACAGUAGCGAAGGCGACUUUCUGGACACAAACUGACGCUGAGGUACGAAAGCGUGGGGAGCAAACAGG